CCUCGAAGAGGGGCUGGCUCCGGGGCGCGGCCUGUCCCCAGGGCUGAUUUAUUUGGGCCGAGGCACACCACUAUUCGCGAUUCGAAUUCAGCAAGAAAACAGCAGCCAAUUGGGCAGGGGGCGGGGGCUUUGCUGCCAAACGGGAAAGGGUGUUUGGGGACCAAGACAGGCGCUGCUUCCGGAGGAGCAGUGAGACCCCGGGGACCGCGUCACCAUACGCCUUUACCGCCGCAAAUUUAAGCCCAUUAUAUUGUCAUUUGACAAAGCUCCUGACUGCUCCAGCGACUUUUCAGAAAGAAAAAGAAUACAACGUCUGACUUAAAACAUAGUUUUAGCUGGAGAGGUGGGUUUUUUUUUUAAGCCAGAUUUAUGGGGCCUUCUCGCUUAUACCAUAUUUCUUUUUGUGUCGGGGCCGCUUUCCCCGAAGGACACGGGGUUACCUAGGCGGCCCCCAUUCCCGCCAGCGUCCCGGCCCACUAGACGCGUCCAGGCGGCUGCGUGUACCCCCACUCAGCGACUGUCUGUCCAACGCAGGCCAUCGCCCAGAAUCCUGACGGUGGCUUCUUGGGGGGUUUUGUUGUUGUUGUUUAGUUUUGUUUCUUAAUUCUCGAAAACCCAAAAAUAACCCUUUAGAAUUGUCAGGUGAUGGCGGCGGAAGCGCGAACACUGCACAGCCUAGCGAGCGCCCCAAUCCCCUGGCCCCUCGCCCCGCCGCGGGUCACUUCGGGUGAGGAGCACGCAGCGCCCCGCGCGGGCCCCGGGCGGCCGGAAUCCAGUGUUCGGGGCGCGGCGGCCGCAGCCCCGGGUCGCCCCCGCGGCCGCCAGCGCGGCGCGGAGGUGGGCUAGCGGCGGCGGCGCACGAAAGGUCACCGCGGUGGCAUUCCUCUCCUCGCGCUGUUUACGUGACUUAAUGUACUUCAUACGCCGCGGCUUGUUAUCUAGGCCACCCAAUGACCGACGAAAGAUUUUCCCUCCCUGUUUCUCCCAAGGCCGCUUUAAACCAAAUAAAUUUAGCUGUUAAGGGCCAAGAUGUCUGACAAAAGAUCGAAAGGUGUCUUUCCGUGAUCGCUUAAAGAAGCGAAGGGGAAGCGGUGGCUCUCGGAUCCCGAUAAAGACAUUCCACCCCGGCGCCGGCCUCCCUCCCCUCGGCCUGGAUGCGCCCUGACACCCUGAGAUCACCACUUCAGCGGCCCAGACCUCGGAGGGGCCCGGCGGGACCUAGGGCCGCAGCACGGGGAAUGUGCAGGUCCCCAGGCUGCCGGGGCCUGGUAGUGCCAGGCACUGGGGUCUCAGGAGCCGGGGAACUCCAGGCCGGAGCGGAGCUCCCAAAGCAGCCCCACUGCGCUUUGCAGAAAAACUAAACUGAGCUCAGUGGGGCCUAAAUUA
Long non-coding RNA from Hipposideros armiger (great roundleaf bat), 1386 nucleotides. RefSeq lists it as uncharacterized. NCBI's taxonomy places the organism in Eukaryota, Metazoa, Chordata, Mammalia, Chiroptera, Hipposideridae. The transcript has 2 exons. The record is from RefSeq and is a predicted model, not a curated record.